UACGUAGGGUGCAAGCGUUGUCCGGAAUUAUUGGGCGUAAAGAGCUCGUAGGCGGUUUGUCGCGUCGGAUGUGAAAACCCGGGGCUCAACCCCGGGCCUGCAUUCGAUACGGGCAGACUAGAGUUCGGUAGGGGAGUCUGGAAUUCCUGGUGUAGCGGUGAAAUGCGCAGAUAUCAGGAGGAACACCGGUGGCGAAGGCGGGACUCUGGGCCGAUACUGACGCUGAGGCACGAAAGCGUGGGGAGCAAACAGG
RNAcentral lists this ribosomal RNA (253 nucleotides) under uncultured bacterium. Its description in RNAcentral is "partial 16S ribosomal RNA". It matches the Rfam family "Bacterial small subunit ribosomal RNA", at positions 524 to 776 of the family's 1533-position model. The record is from RNAcentral.